Molecule: ribosomal RNA, 119 nt
Filed under: Triticum aestivum (bread wheat)
Lineage: Eukaryota; Viridiplantae; Streptophyta; Magnoliopsida; Poales; Poaceae
Source: RNAcentral
AGAUGCGAUCAUACCAGCACUAAAGCACCGGAUCCCAUCAGAACUCCGAAGUUAAGCUUGCUUUGGUGAGAGUAGUACUAGGAUGGGUGACCUCUUGGGAAGUCCUCGUGUUGCAUUCC